UACGUAGGGGGCGAGCGUUGUCCGGAAUUAUUGGGCGUAAAGAGCGUGUAGGCGGUUCGGUAAGUCUGCCGUGAAAACCUGGGGCUCAACCCCGGGCCUGCAUUCGAUACGGGCAGACUAGAGUUCGGUAGGGGAGUCUGGAAUUCCUGGUGUAGCGGUGAAAUGCGCAGAUAUCAGGAGGAACACCGAUUGCGAAGGCAGCUCGCUGGGACGUAACUGACGCUGAGACGCGAAAGCGUGGGGAGCAAACAGG
This 253-nucleotide ribosomal RNA is filed under the name uncultured bacterium. RNAcentral describes it as "partial 16S ribosomal RNA". It matches the Rfam family "Bacterial small subunit ribosomal RNA", at positions 524 to 776 of the family's 1533-position model. The record is from RNAcentral.